UUGAAAUGUUUUGGAUUUUUGGCGAGGAAUUACAGAAUUACAGUGCAAUAUCGUCAUCUGUGGGUAGUAAACUACCCCGGGUUCUAAAAACUUCCGUGGGUCGAUGUUCGGCGAUGCAUCAACCGUGAGGGUUUCAAUCGUGAAUAUAAUAGGGUUAUCAAUUUGAGGUAGUCAAGGUUUUUAAGAUAGUUGUGUCAAGGAAGUUGACAGAUUUCUCAGAGAAGGAAAAGUCAAAUUUGAUGGUAUAAGAUUUUCAGGAGCUUGUUGGAGGAGCUCCUGUUCAAGUGCUGCCAUGAAUAUGUUUGCAUAGGGGUAAUUGUGUUGAUUUCUUUCAACAUGUCUAUACAGGCUUGGAUGCCUUGAUCAUUAGAUCAUGGAUGGUUUUAAGGCUUUGUGAGGAUAAGUUGGUUUUUGUAGUUUGUUUUUGUGUUCCAAAUUCAAUUUUGAGAUCGUAGAGUACAUUUGAUAUGUAUUCUAACAGGUUGCUGUUGUCGGGGUUUGGUGCUGUGAAGUUACUGGGUAGUUUAAAUGGAUGUUUUUUAGUGUCCUUUCUGUUUCUGAAGAAAUAUUUAUUGUACAUGCUUUUUUUAUAUUUCAGAAAAGAGGCAUAUAUGGUCUUGUAUGGUGUGUGUUUGGGUGUCGGGACAAAGGUAAGGCCUUUCGACAGGGUUUUUUGUGCUUCCUGUGAGAUGGGUUUGUUAGAGAGGUUAACAAUAGUAUUGUGUUGGGAGUUAUAUUUGAGUUUUUUAUGUAGUUUAUUUUUGCUUUUGUGUCUGUUG
Molecule: long non-coding RNA, 779 nt
Organism: Dendronephthya gigantea
Lineage: Eukaryota; Metazoa; Cnidaria; Anthozoa; Malacalcyonacea; Nephtheidae
Exons: 5
Source: RefSeq, a predicted model, not a curated record